RNAcentral lists this ribosomal RNA (492 nucleotides) under uncultured bacterium. RNAcentral describes it as "partial 16S ribosomal RNA". It matches the Rfam family "Bacterial small subunit ribosomal RNA", at positions 29 to 507 of the family's 1533-position model. The record is from RNAcentral.
AGUGGACGCUGGCGGUAGGCCUAACACAUGCAAGUCGAACGGCAGCACAGUAAGAGCUUGCUCUUACGGGUGGCGAGUGGCGGACGGGUGAGGAAUACAUCGGAAUCUACUUUUUCGUGGGGGAUAACGUAGGGAAACUUACGCUAAUACCGCAUACGACCUACGGGUGAAAGCAGGGGAUCUUCGGACCUUGCGCGAUUGAAUGAGCCGAUGUCGGAUUAGCUAGUUGGCGAGGUAAAGGCCCACCAAGGCGACGAUCCGUAGCUGGUCUGAGAGGAUGAUCAGCCACACUGGAACUGAGACACGGUCCAGACUCCUACGGGAGGCAGCAGUGGGGAAUAUUGGACAAUGGGCGCAAGCCUGAUCCAGCCAUACCGCGUGGGUGAAGAAGGCCUUCGGGUUGUAAAGCCCUUUUGUUGGGAAAGAAAAGCAGCAGGUUAAUACCCCGCUGUUCUGACGGUACCCAAAGAAUAAGCACCGGCUAACUUCGUG